CCAGGGAAUGCCCUCAGUUAACGGGCGGAGGUGAAGGCGGCAAAAGCUCAAAUUUGAAAUCCCCCGGGUAAUUGUAAUUUGAAAAGACUUGGGUCCGGCCGGCGGGGGUUAAGUCCACUGGAAAGUGGCGCCACAGAGGGUGACAGCCCCGUGAGCCCCUCUAACGCCUCUACCCCAAAUCUCCAAGAGUCGAGUUGUUUGGGAAUGCAGCUCUAAGUGGGUGGAAAAUUCCAUCUAAAGCUAAAUACCGGCGAGAGACCGAUAGCGAACAAGUACAGUGAUGGAAAGAUGAAAAGCACUUUGAAAAGAGAGUGAAAAAGUACGUGAAAUUGUUGAAAGGGAAGGGCUUGCAAGCAAACACUUAACUGGGCCAGCAUCGGGGCGGCGGGAAACAAAACCACCGGGGAAUGUACCUCUCGAGGAUUAUAACCCCGGUCUUUUUUUCCUUGUCGCCCCGAGGCCUGCAAUCUAAGGAUGCUGGCGUAAUGGUUGCAAGUCGCCCGUCUUGAAACACGGACCAA
Molecule: ribosomal RNA, 521 nt
Filed under: Metschnikowia pulcherrima
Lineage: Eukaryota; Fungi; Ascomycota; Pichiomycetes; Serinales; Metschnikowiaceae
Description: partial large subunit ribosomal RNA
Rfam family: Eukaryotic large subunit ribosomal RNA
Source: RNAcentral